Molecule: long non-coding RNA, 690 nt
Organism: Daphnia magna
Lineage: Eukaryota; Metazoa; Arthropoda; Branchiopoda; Diplostraca; Daphniidae
Exons: 3
Source: RefSeq, a predicted model, not a curated record
GGGAAUUCGAUAAAAAGUGAAAGAAAAUAAAAACAAACACCGUGUCUAAAUUCUAUGAAAUAAUCAGACGGAGGGAAGUUAGUGGGUCAGUGGACCGACCCACUGCGCGCAAACGAAUUCCGACGUUAAAGGUGUGUUAAAGGUGCACGCAAGCCCUUGUGCCGCCUAAGGGCGGAGAAGUUCGAGUAACCUGCCGCCCAUUGGAAUUCGUGUGCGCUUGAUGUUAGAGGGGGAUGAACGUUGCGGAAGCUUUCCCCGGAUAGACCAUAAAAAUUAUCGGGUUUAAUAAAAAGGGUCUUCCAAGAAGGCUUCGCUGAAUGUUUCAUUUUUUUUUUGUGUGGUCUUCCCACAAGCCCGACACGCAUACUUUUUCGGUUAUUCUGACAUGUCAUGCAAUUGAAAAAGAUGCGUGGAUGCUUAAAAUGAAAGAUAUACAAGGUGCGGGACUGACUAAAAAGGCAUUUACACUUCCCGGCCGGUCCAAAUGGAGGUCAACCGGUCAACCUCCUCCAACUGAUACAUCGCUGAUUUUAUUUUGUUUUGUUUGUUUGUUUGUUUUUUUUCUCUCUUUCUACUGACUUCUUAUUUCCAUAGAUGUUGAAAAAAAACAAAAAAAAACAAAAAAAUGUAGUUAGCGCACGACUUUUGUUUCGGUUCCAGUUCCUCAAUUUCAAAUGGGAACACAGUCAA